UGAGGGGUUUCCGGACAAUAUUAAAUCCUAGUUGGUGGGACAAUGGGGUGAGGAUAAUGAAGUCUAGAUAUUUGAUAGAACUGAAGCAAGGGGACGAUUUUUUCUGUUAAAAAAAAAAAGAGGCCAAAGGUGAUUCCCUCGGGCGUCCGCAAAGAACGACAGCAGUCCGCCAACAAAGGAUGGAGACAACGGGAAAGUGGGGACUGAGUGGGUUUGUGUUAGCGGAAAGCAGCCACUCGAGCGGUGGGCAUGGAGUUU
This 258-nucleotide long non-coding RNA is filed under the name Phoenix dactylifera (date palm). RNAcentral's name for it is "long non-coding RNA (PDAC_LNC016925)". The record is from RNAcentral. Lineage: Eukaryota; Viridiplantae; Streptophyta; Magnoliopsida; Arecales; Arecaceae.